This is a long non-coding RNA of Cucumis melo (muskmelon), 1865 nucleotides long. RefSeq lists it as uncharacterized. The transcript has 3 exons. NCBI's taxonomy places the organism in Eukaryota, Viridiplantae, Streptophyta, Magnoliopsida, Cucurbitales, Cucurbitaceae. The record is from RefSeq and is a predicted model, not a curated record.
UCUAGAUUCCCCUUCCUCAAGAUAAAACCCUAGCCGCCGCCCUUGCUCUUCCUCCGUCCGCCGCGCGUCACCCAUCUUCGAUUAUUUCGUUAAACCGUUGUUCGUGUUUCGCCGUCUUCUCCGUUGUUCCGCCAUUAAGCGUCCCUUUGGUCUAUCCGUUUUCUGUCGUGUCAGCAAGCACAUUCAGUCGUCGGAGCUUUGUUUGCGUUUCCCUUCGGCAGAUCAGUUGCCUUGUCGUCGAACGUCAGUCAGAGCCCCAUCGUUUUUCGUUUUCUAGUUGCCUUCCACCGUUUCGUGCGUCGCUUUUCCAUUUUGAGCCAAACGAUACCGCACGUCGAGCCAAUCCUCCUCCGUCCGAGCCGACCCUAAGUCGCGCACCCCUGCCUAUCCGAGAUGUCUUUUCUCUAUCCAAGCCAAGCUGCCUCUAUUUUCUCUUUUGUUAGCCAAGCCAAAUUGAUCCACUCUCCUAUUUGUUUUGAGUCAUACCCACAUAGGUGUCUUCGGGGUCACCACCUUUAUAUGACUCUGUAGUCCGACGGGAUCACCAGUCCAAUAUGACAUAGACAUGAUUACGAGAGAUUCGACAGGGUCGUCACUCACAGUUCGAUUGUCUUAGUGUUUCUUUCGGGUACACUAAAGAUAAGUUUGUCUUAGGUGUUCCCUUGGGUUCACCGAAAACCAGAGAUGUUCCUACGGGAUUACAGAUUGCACGUGUUCUGAAAUGUGCCAGUUAGGGGGCAAAGGUAAAGGUAGAGGAAAGUUGGCAAGCGACAGAGAAGGAUUCGUGACAUGCCAUAUGGGGACUCAGUUUUGUUUCCGCGUCUAUAUAUCAAUGUUUCAGUAUUUUGUUUUUAAUGAAAAUUUAGUCUUUCUCCUUUCAAGAAAGUGUCUCUUAUUAUUGUUUCUUUUUAGUAACGACCUCAUCUUAGUAUAAAGAGUUGGGUUGUUACAGUUUAGGAUUUAAAUUCUUAGAAAGCUUGAUUGUUGUUGUUAAGACUAUUUUUAAUUAAGCUAAUCUCUAGGUAAAAAAUUCUCCUACUAGACUCUCUUACUGAAAUUAAGAGUUGCAUGUGAUUUCCCUAUUAUGCAUUGAUGUAGCUAAAAUGUAUAAUGUAUUGAUGACAUAUGUUGAUGACCGAUAGUUAUGACUGAGUUAUAUUUAUGAUGAUGACUGAUUAUAUUAAUAUUGAUGCAUGAAAUAUUAAUCUCAUAAUUAAGGAUAUUAAGAUAAUAUUCAUGUCAUGUUUAUAAUGUUAUGAUGUGCUACAUGCUAUGGAUAGGGUGUUAUGUUAACUUUAUCUAUUAGAGUCAUGCCCACAUGGGUGUCCUUCAAGAUCACCACCUUUUUACAACUGUGUGGUCUAACAGGAUCAUCAAUCUCUUGAGAUGAUAUACAUAUGAGUGGUCCGACGGGGUCACUUACAGCCCAAUUGUCCUAAGUGUUCCUUUGGGUUCACUAAAAACCAGUUUGUUUUUUGUGUUCUUUUGAGUUCACUGAAAACCAGUUUUGUCCAAGGUGUUCUUUUGGGCUCACCGAAGACUGAGAUGUUCCUACAGGAUCAUUAGAUUGCGUGUGUUCGAGAACACGCCAGUUUAGAAAUACUUCUUUACAGGACUCUAAUAGAAAGUUAACAGACACCUAGCGGGACUAGUAGUGAGUCUCUUACUGAGUAUAUAUUUAUAUAUACUCACUCUUUCUAUGUUUAAAUUUUCAGGCAAAGGUAGAGGUAGGGAUAAAGGGAAGCUGGCGAAUGAUAACAAGAAGUGACCGCAACUUGCCAUAGGGAAACGUUUUGCUUCCACCUUUGUGUUAUCGUUUUGAUUUCAGCAUGUUGGUAUUCUAUGACUAUUUUCUUAAAAGUAGA